Molecule: ribosomal RNA, 434 nt
Filed under: uncultured Blautia sp.
Lineage: Bacteria; Bacillati; Bacillota; Clostridia; Lachnospirales; Lachnospiraceae
Description: bacterial SSU rRNA
Rfam family: Bacterial small subunit ribosomal RNA
Source: RNAcentral
ACGGAAGGCAGCAGUGGGGAAUAUUGCACAAUGGGGGAAACCCUGAUGCAGCGACGCCGCGUGAAGGAAGAAGUAUCUCGGUAUGUAAACUUCUAUCAGCAGGGAAGAUAGUGACGGUACCUGACUAAGAAGCCCCGGCUAACUACGUGCCAGCAGCCGCGGUAAUACGUAGGGGGCAAGCGUUAUCCGGAUUUACUGGGUGUAAAGGGAGCGUAGACGGUGUGGCAAGUCUGAUGUGAAAGGCAUGGGCUCAACCUGUGGACUGCAUUGGAAACUGUCAUACUUGAGCGCCGGAGGGGUAAGCGGAAUUCCUAGUGUAGCGGUGAAAUGCGUAGAUAUUAGGAGGAACACCAGUGGCGAAGGCGGCUUACUGGACGGUAACUGACGUUGAGGCUCGAAAGCGUGGGGAGCAAACAGGAUUAGAUACCCUGGUA